Molecule: ribosomal RNA, 498 nt
Filed under: uncultured bacterium
Lineage: Bacteria
Description: partial 16S ribosomal RNA
Rfam family: Bacterial small subunit ribosomal RNA
Source: RNAcentral
AUUGAACGCUGGCGGCAUGCCUUACACAUGCAAGUCGAACGGUAACAGGUCUUCGGAUGCUGACGAGUGGCGAACGGGUGAGUAAUACAUCGGAACGUGCCUAGUAGUGGGGGAUAACUACUCGAAAGAGUGGCUAAUACCGCAUGAGAUCUACGGAUGAAAGCAGGGGAUCGCAAGACCUUGUGCUACUAGAGCGGCCGAUGGCAGAUUAGGUAGUUGGUGGGAUAAAAGCUUACCAAGCCGACGAUCUGUAGCUGGUCUGAGAGGACGAUCAGCCACACUGGGACUGAGACACGGCCCAGACUCCUACGGGAGGCAGCAGUGGGGAAUUUUGGACAAUGGGCGCAAGCCUGAUCCAGCAAUGCCGCGUGUAGGAUGAAGGCCUUCGGGCUGUAAACUGCUUUUGUACGGAACGAAAAGCCCCGGGUUAAUACCCUGGGGUCAUGACGGUACCGUAAGAAUAAGCACCGGCUAACUACGUGCCAGCAGCCGCAGUAA